GUGGCCUUCACAGCGAGAGCAGCGUGCGAAGGAGUCAGGAUGUAUGCGACUUGCGGCGCUUCAUUCAAACGCCGCCCGCUGGGACUGUGAUUCGCAGGGACUCGGCCUCCAUAUGGUAAUUUUUAGCAUGGCAGGAGGCGGAGGUGUGUGCGGGGUGCGUCUCUCCCUCUCCUUCUCUGUGUAUGUUGGGGGAGUGGGCUCAUGACUGGAGAGCGAGCCAAGCUCGGACAGAGCAGGGACAGCGAAAGGCGCUCAGCACUGCUUUUGCAGCGCUGGCACUCGACCCAGAAUAAGCUGGAACCUUCGAGCGUGCAAUCCGCGGCGAAAGAGCAAGGAGGGCAGCAAGGCACCGCGGAGACCUCGAUCCAGACAUCAAGCGAUAAUCAGAUGGAGUGAUAGUCAUCCAAAAAGGUAAUUUUUAUUUGGAAACAAACCUAAUGAUAAAACAAUGUA
RNAcentral lists this long non-coding RNA (453 nucleotides) under Salvator merianae (Argentine black and white tegu). RNAcentral's name for it is "lncRNA (ENSSMRG00000007452.1)". The record is from RNAcentral. Lineage: Eukaryota; Metazoa; Chordata; Lepidosauria; Squamata; Teiidae.